RNAcentral lists this ribosomal RNA (468 nucleotides) under uncultured bacterium. RNAcentral describes it as "partial 16S ribosomal RNA". It matches the Rfam family "Bacterial small subunit ribosomal RNA", at positions 28 to 507 of the family's 1533-position model. The record is from RNAcentral.
GACGAACGCUGGCGGCGUGCUUAACACAUGCAAGUCGAACGGAAAGGCCCUGCUUUUGUGGGGUGCUCGAGUGGCGAACGGGUGAGUAACACGUGAGUAACCUGCCCUUGACUUUGGGAUAACUUCAGGAAACUGGGGCUAAUACCGGAUAGGAGCUCCUGCUGCAGGGUGGGGGUUGGAAAGUUUCGGCGGUUGGGGAUGGACUCGCGGCUUAUCAGCUUGUUGGUGGGGUAGUGGCUUACCAAGGCUUUGACGGGUAGCCGGCCUGAGAGGGUGACCGGCCACAUUGGGACUGAGAUACGGCCCAGACUCCUACGGGAGGCAGAAGUGGGGAAUAUUGCACAAUGGGCGGAAGCCUGAUGCAGCAACGCCGCGUGCGGGAUGACGGCCUUCGGGUUGUAAACCGCUUUCGCCUGUGACGAAGCGUGAGUGACGGUAAUGGGUAAAGAAGCACCGGCUAACUACGUG